UAGCCGUAAACGAUACUCGCUAGGUGUCGGCCACGGUGCGACCGUUGUCGGUGCCGUAGGGAAGCCGUGAAGCGAGCCACCUGGGAAGUACGGCCGCAAGGCUGAAACUUAAGGAAUUGGCGGGGGAGCACCACAACGGGUGGAGCUUGCGGUUUAAUUGGAUUCAACGCCGGAAAUCUUACCGGGACCGACAGCAACAUGAAGGCCAGGCUGAAGACUUUGCCGGAUUAGCUGAGAGGUGGUGCAUGGCGUAGUCGUGU
This 260-nucleotide ribosomal RNA is filed under the name uncultured archaeon. RNAcentral describes it as "partial 16S ribosomal RNA". It matches the Rfam family "Archaeal small subunit ribosomal RNA", at positions 748 to 1009 of the family's 1478-position model. The record is from RNAcentral.